Molecule: ribosomal RNA, 468 nt
Filed under: uncultured bacterium
Lineage: Bacteria
Description: partial 16S ribosomal RNA
Rfam family: Bacterial small subunit ribosomal RNA
Source: RNAcentral
GACGAACGCUGGCGGCGUGCCUAACACAUGCAAGUCGAGCGGAAAGACCCUGCUUUUGCGGGGUGCUCGAGUGGCGAACGGGUGUGAAACACGCGAGUAACCUGCCCCUGACAUUGGGAUAUCUUCAGGAAACUGCGGAUAAUACCGGAUAUGAGCUCUUGAUGCACGGGGGUCGUUGGAAAGAUUCGGUGGUUGUGGAUGGAAUCGCGGGUUACCAGCUUGUUGGGGGGGUAGUGGCUUACCAAGGCUUUGACGGGUAGCCGGCCUGGGAGGGUAGCCGGCCACAUUGGUACUGAGAUACGGACCAGUCUCCAACGGGCGGCAGUGGGGGGGAAUAUUGCACAAUGGGCGGAAGCGUGAUGCGGAGACCCCGGGUGCGUGAUGACGUCCUUCUGGUUGUGAACCGCUUUCGCCUGAGACAUAGCGUGCUUGACGGUAAUGAGUAAAGAAGCACCGGCUAACUACGUG